GACAGAGGGGGCAAGCGUUGCUCGGAAUCACUGGGCGUAAAGGGCGCGUAGGCGGGAUGGCAAGUCAGUCGUGAAAUCUCUCGGCUCAACCGAGAAACGUCGGCUGAUACUGCCGUUCUUGAGGGAUGCAGAGGAGACUGGAAUUCCCGGUGUAGCGGUGAAAUGUGUAGAGAUCGGGAGGAACACCGGUGGCGAAGGCGGGUCUCUGGGCAUUUCCUGACGCUGAGGCGCGAAAGCUAGGGGAGCGAACAGG
This 253-nucleotide ribosomal RNA is filed under the name uncultured bacterium. RNAcentral describes it as "partial 16S ribosomal RNA". It matches the Rfam family "Bacterial small subunit ribosomal RNA", at positions 524 to 776 of the family's 1533-position model. The record is from RNAcentral.